Molecule: ribosomal RNA, 466 nt
Filed under: uncultured bacterium
Lineage: Bacteria
Description: partial 16S ribosomal RNA
Rfam family: Bacterial small subunit ribosomal RNA
Source: RNAcentral
GACGAACGCUGGCGGCGCGCCUAACACAUGCAAGUCGAACGAGCGAGCGAGAGCUUGCUUUCUCAAGCGAGUGGCGAACGGGUGAGUAACGCGUGAGGAACCUGCCUCAAAGAGGGGGACAACAGUUGGAAACGACUGCUAAUACCGCAUAAGCCCACGACCCGGCAUCGGGUAGAGGGAAAAGGAGCAAUCCGCUUUGAGAUGGCCUCGCGUCCGAUUAGCUAGUUGGUGAGGUAACGGCCCACCAAGGCGACGAUCGGUAGCCGGACUGGGAGGUUGAACGGCCACAUUGGGACUGAGACACGGCCCAGACUCCUACGGGAGGCAGCAGUGGGGAAUAUUGCACAAUGGGGGAAACCCUGAUGCAGCGACGCCGCGUGGAGGAAGAAGGUCUUCGGAUUGUAAACUCCUGUUGUGGAGGAAGAUAAUGACGGUACUCAACAAGGAAGUGACGGCUAACUACGUG